GACGAACGCUGGCGGCGUGCUUAACACAUGCAAGUCGAACGGAAAGGCCCUGCUUUUGUGGGGUGCUUGAGUGGCGAACGGGUGAGUAACACGUGAGUAACCUGCCCUUGACUUUGGGAUAACUUCAGGAAACUGGGGCUAAUACCGGAUAGGAGCUCCUGCUGCAUGGUGGGGGUUGGAAAGUUUCGGCGGUUGGGGAUGGACUCGCGGCUUACCAGCUUGUUGGUGGGGUAGUGGCUUACCAAGGCUUUGACGGGUAGCCGGCCUGAGAGGGUGACCGGCCACAUUGGGACUGAGAUACGGCCCAGACUCCUACGGGAGGCAGCAGUGGGGAAUAUUGCACAAUGGGCGGAAGCCUGAUGCAGCAACGCCGCGUGCGGGAUGACGGCCUUCGGGUUGUAAACCGCUUUCGCCUGUGACGAAGCGUGAGUGACGGUAAUGGGUAAAGAAGCACCGGCUAACUACGUG
Molecule: ribosomal RNA, 468 nt
Filed under: uncultured bacterium
Lineage: Bacteria
Description: partial 16S ribosomal RNA
Rfam family: Bacterial small subunit ribosomal RNA
Source: RNAcentral